CCCAAUGGGCGAAACCCGGACGGAAGGACCCCGCUGAAUGGAGAAAUCCUUUCGGUACGUAAACAUCUUUUAUCGGGGACGAAGUUUAUUGACGGUACCCGAUGAAUAAGGGGCUCCUAACUUUGUGCCAGCAGGAGCGGUAAUACAGAGGCCCCAACCAUUACCCGGAAUCCUGGGGGUAAAAGGGGGUUUAAGCGGCCAUAUUAGUCUUUCGAAAAAUGUCCGGGUUUAACCUGUCACCCAGGAGAAACGGUUAGCUCGAGGGGUUGAGAGGUACAGGGAACUCAUGCGUAGGGGUGAAAUCCGUUGAUAUCAUGGGGAACCCAAAGGCGAAGGCAGUGCACUGGUACGUUCCUGACGCUCAAACACGAAAGCCA
This 377-nucleotide ribosomal RNA is filed under the name uncultured organism. RNAcentral's name for it is "bacterial SSU rRNA". It matches the Rfam family "Bacterial small subunit ribosomal RNA", at positions 367 to 762 of the family's 1533-position model. The record is from RNAcentral.